AGCAUAUCACGUAGCCAAAGAUGACUUGCCUGCAACCCAUGCAAAAAGGGCUUAUCUCUCUCUGUCUCUUAUUUUUUAUCUAGCUAAUUAAAUAAGUCCUUGAAAAUGGUCCAGGCAAAUCAUCCUUGGCUAUCAAAUAAAACUCU
Molecule: microRNA precursor, 146 nt
Organism: Nicotiana attenuata
Lineage: Eukaryota; Viridiplantae; Streptophyta; Magnoliopsida; Solanales; Solanaceae
Source: Rfam